RNAcentral lists this ribosomal RNA (791 nucleotides) under uncultured bacterium. Its description in RNAcentral is "bacterial SSU rRNA". It matches the Rfam family "Bacterial small subunit ribosomal RNA", at positions 8 to 796 of the family's 1533-position model. The record is from RNAcentral.
AGAGUUUGAUCAUGGCUCAGAUUGAACGCUGGCGGCAUGCCUUACACAUGCAAGUCGAACGGUAACAGGUCUUCGGAUGCUGACGAGUGGCGAACGGGUGAGUAAUACAUCGGAACGUGCCCAGUAAUGGGGGAUAGCUCGGCGAAAGCCGGAUUAAUACCGCAUACGCCCUGAGGGGGAAAGUGGGGGACCGCAAGGCCUCACGUUAUUGGAGCGGCCGAUGGCUGAUUAGCUAGUUGGUAGGGUAAAGGCCUACCAAGGCGACGAUCAGUAGCUGGUCUGAGAGGACGAUCAGCCACACUGGGACUGAGACACGGCCCAGACUCCUACGGGAGGCAGCAGUGGGGAAUUUUGGACAAUGGGGGAAACCCUGAUCCAGCAAUGCCGCGUGUGCGGAGAAGGCCUUCGGGUUGUAAAGCACUUUUGUCAGGGAAGAAAUCCUUUGGGCUAAUACCCUAGGGGGAUGACGGUACCUGAAGAAUAAGCACCGGCUAACUACGUGCCAGCAGCCGCGGUAAUACGUAGGGUGCAAGCGUUAAUCGGAAUUACUGGGCGUAAAGCGUGCGCAGGCGGUUGUGUAAGACAGGUGUGAAAUCCCCGGGCUUAACCUGGGAAUUGCAUUUGUGACUGCACGACUAGAGUGUGUCAGAGGGGGGUGGAAUUCCACGUGUAGCAGUGAGAUGCGUAGAUAUGUGGAGGAACACCAAUGGCGAAGGCAGCCCCCUGGGAUAACACUGACACUCAUGCACGAAAGCGUGGGGAGCAAACAGGAUUAGAUACCCCGGUAGUCC